RNAcentral lists this ribosomal RNA (451 nucleotides) under uncultured Thauera sp. RNAcentral describes it as "bacterial SSU rRNA". It matches the Rfam family "Bacterial small subunit ribosomal RNA", at positions 929 to 1382 of the family's 1533-position model. The record is from RNAcentral. Lineage: Bacteria; Pseudomonadati; Pseudomonadota; Betaproteobacteria; Rhodocyclales; Zoogloeaceae.
GCGGUGGAUGAUGUGGAUUAAUUCGAUGCAACGCGAAAACCUUACCUACCCUUGACAUGUCUGGAACCUUGGUGAGAGCCGAGGUGCCUUCGGGAGCCAGAACACAGGUGCUGCAUGGCUGUCGUCAGCUCGUGUCGUGAGAUGUUGGGUUAAGUCCCGCAACGAGCGCAACCCUUGUCAUUAGUUGCCAUCAUUUGGUUGGGCACUCUAAUGAGACUGCCGGUGACAAACCGGAGGAAGGUGGGGAUGACGUCAAGUCCUCAUGGCCCUUAUGGGUAGGGCUUCACACGUCAUACAAUGGUCGGUACAGAGGGUUGCCAACCCGCGGGGGGGGAGCCAAUCCCACAAAGCCGGUCGUAGUCCGGAUCGCAGUCUGCAACUCGACUGCGUGAAGUCGGAAUCGCUAGUAAUCGUGGAUCAGAAUGUCACGGUGAAUACGUUCCCGGGUCUU